This 679-nucleotide ribosomal RNA is filed under the name uncultured bacterium. RNAcentral describes it as "bacterial SSU rRNA". It matches the Rfam family "Bacterial small subunit ribosomal RNA", at positions 8 to 661 of the family's 1533-position model. The record is from RNAcentral.
AGAGUUUGAUCAUGGCUCAGAAUGAACGCUGGCGGCGUGCUUAACACAUGCAAGUCGAACGAGAAAGUUUCCUUCGGGAAGCGAGUAGAGUGGCGCACGGGUGAGUAAUACGUAGAUAAUCUACCUUUGAAUUUGGGAUAACAUCGCGAAAGUGGUGCUAAUACCGGAUAAUAUUUAUAAGACUUUGGUUUUGUAAAUCAAAGAUGGCCUCUUCUUGAAAGCUAUUGUUUGAAGAUGAGUCUACGCACCAUUAGCUUGUUGGUGGGGUAAAGGCCUACCAAGGCGACGAUGGUUAGCUGGUCUGAGAGGAUGAUCAGCCACACUGGAACUGACACACGGUCCAGACUCCUACGGGAGGCAGCAGUGAGGAAUUUUGCGCAAUGGGGGAAACCCUGACGCAGCAACGCCGCGUGAGUGAUGAAGGCUCUUGGGUCGUAAAACUCUGUCAGUAGGGAAGAAAUUGCGUAUAAUUAAUACUUAUAUGUAUUGACGGUACCUACAAAGGAAGCACCGGCUAACUCCGUGCCAGCAGCCGCGGUAAUACGGGGGGUGCAAGCGUUAUUCGGAAUUAUUGGGCGUAAAGCGAGUGUAGGCGGUUUGUUAAGUCAGAUGUGAAAGCCCGGGGCUCAACCCCGGAAGUGCAUUUGAAACUGGCAGACUUGAGUAUGGGAGAGGAAAG